This 74-nucleotide transfer RNA is filed under the name Ophioglossum vulgatum (southern adder's-tongue). Its description in RNAcentral is "tRNA-Asp". It matches the Rfam family "tRNA". Rfam says of the family: Transfer RNA (tRNA) molecules are approximately 80 nucleotides in length. RNAcentral also lists the same sequence under 1 other name. Lineage: Eukaryota; Viridiplantae; Streptophyta; Polypodiopsida; Ophioglossales; Ophioglossaceae. The record is from RNAcentral.
GGGGAAAUAGCUCAGUUGGUUAGAGUGCUGGUUUGUCACGCCAGAAGUCGCGGGUUCGAACCCCGUUUUCCCCG